CGUAAUCCGGAUCGAGGACAGUGUAUGGUGGGCAGUUUGACUGGGGCGGUCUCCUCCUAAAGAGUAACGGAGGAGUACGAAGGUGCGCUCAGACCGGUCGGAAAUCGGUCGUAGAGUAUAAAGGCAAAAGCGCGCUUGACUGCGAGACAGACACGUCGAGCAGGUACGAAAGUAGGUCUUAGUGAUCCGGUGGUUCUGUAUGGAAGGGCCAUCGCUCAACGGA
This 223-nucleotide ribosomal RNA is filed under the name Pseudomonas aeruginosa. RNAcentral describes it as "partial 23S ribosomal RNA". It matches the Rfam family "Bacterial large subunit ribosomal RNA", at positions 2234 to 2456 of the family's 2925-position model. The record is from RNAcentral. Lineage: Bacteria; Pseudomonadati; Pseudomonadota; Gammaproteobacteria; Pseudomonadales; Pseudomonadaceae.